GAGUUAAUGCUUGGGAAUAUGCCUUAGGGUGGGGGACAACAGUUGGAAACGACUGCUAAUACCGCAUAACGUCUACGGACCAAAGGGGGCUUCGGCUCUCGCCCUUAGAUUAGCCCAAGUGGGAUUAGCUAGUUGGUGAGGUAAUGGCUCACCAAGGCGACGAUCCCUAGCUGGUUUGAGAGGAUGAUCAGCCACACUGGAACUGAGACACGGUCCAGACUCCUACGGGAGGCAGCAGUGGGGAAUAUUGCACAAUGGGCGCAAGCCUGAUGCAGCCAUGCCGCGUGUGUGAAGAAGGCCUUAGGGUUGUAAAGCACUUUCAGUAAGGAGGAAAGGUUAGUAGUUAAUACCUGCUAGCUGUGACGUUACUUACAGAAGAAGCACCGGCUAACUCCGUGCCAGCAGCCGCGGUAAUACGGAGGGUGCGAGCGUUAAUCGGAAUUACUGGGCGUAAAGCGUACGCAGGCGGUUUGUUAAGCGAGAUGUGAAAGCCCCGGGCUCAACCUGGGAACUGCAUUUCGAACUGGCAAACUAGAGUAUGAUAGAGGGUGGUAGAAUUUCAGGUGUAGCGGUGAAAUGCGUAGAGAUCUGAAGGAAUACCGAUGGCGAAGGCAGCCACCUGGGUCAAUACUGACGCUCAUGUACGAAAGCGUGGGGAGCAAACGGGAUUAGAUACCCCGGUAGUCCACGCCGUAAACGAUGUCUACUAGGAGCUGGGGUCUUCGGACAACUUUUCCAAAGCUAACGCAUUAAGUAGACCGCCUGGGGAGUACGGCCGCAAGGUUAAAAACUCAAAUGAAAUUGACGGGGGGCCCCGCAC
Molecule: ribosomal RNA, 820 nt
Filed under: Pseudoalteromonas sp. R2M7
Lineage: Bacteria; Pseudomonadati; Pseudomonadota; Gammaproteobacteria; Alteromonadales; Pseudoalteromonadaceae
Description: bacterial SSU rRNA
Rfam family: Bacterial small subunit ribosomal RNA
Source: RNAcentral